UUCAAAAUAAAAAUUACCAGCUUCUUCCUUGUCGGUAUUUCCAAACAAGACAAAAAUAAAAAUAUCAAAAUGUACUCCUUUGGUUCCUCUCUUCUCCAACCUCCAUCAGGCUCCAUACCUCAAGUCCUCAACCCCCGCCUCUAUCUCCUCCUUGUUCAUCCUCCUCAUGUUUAUUACUCCGUAUGAAGAAUGCAAAUAUACUGCAAUACCAUCUAGAUACAUCUCAAACGAAUUGGAGAUACAUCUCAAGCGAAUUGAAGAUACAUCUCAAACGAAUUGGAGAUACAUCAGUAUGAAGUGGAGAUACAUAUACAUCAACUCUAAACUACAGAUACAUCUGAGAUUCAUCAAAGAUACAUCUUGGAUUCAUCAAAGAUACAUCAAUACCAAUUGGAGAUACAUCAACUCAAAUACAUCAACUCUAAACUACAGGUAUAUUGAUGCUACCCUACAGAUACAUCCAAAAUUACCUGCAACUUUCACUAGCUACAAUUUUGGAGUCCGUCAAAUUUCAUCCGAGACGCUGAAUUAUCACUGUGAUCUGCAUAAUCAAGCUCGGAAUAAGAUGAGGCGAAUGUUGCGUGCCGGAGCUCCGGUUUCUUUAGCCACUGUAGUCAAGUAUGUAUUGAAGAAGAUACGCUUAGCUGAAUAAACCGAGAAGUUUAAGAGAACAACUCCCCAGGAGGUCAGUCAUCAAUCUCUGAUUCUUUGAUAUUCAAUUGAACAUGUUGGUAGUCAAGAUCUCUGAAUUUUAAUUUGCUGGAGUAAUGUUGUUGAUUGUUUUUUAUUCAUUUUAUCAUGGAUUUGAUGUAAGUAGCCUUAAGGGGGAUCUUAACUUGUUGCAAUGUGUUGCCUUCGUGGAUCUUUGUGAGGCAUUAGAAAAAGUAGGUGAUUCAAUGAUUUCGGUAUACCCUUGUUGAUUUGAGCUUAUGGACCUUUACAUGGUAUGUUCUUCUUCGGCAUAAUGGAUUAAAAAUGAUGAUUACACUAAUCUGAUUGGUCUUAUAUAUGAGAAGCAGAUUAUGCUUGCUGAGGUGCUAGAAAGGUAUGGAGAUAGAUAUGGAGGAUACACAAGGAUCAUCAGGACCUAACAAGGAGAGGUGACAUUUCUCCAAUGGCCUACAUUGAGCUUGUUUAGGCCUGGUUAAUUGGGGUGGGUGCAAGCAAUAGCUUACGGUAGAAUUGUGCUCUGUUGGUGAUGCUUAUUUUCUUUUGGUGUUGGUAUGAAGCCAGCCUGGUAGUUUGAGUUGCUGCAUUACCAAAGUUGACAUGUGGACUUCGUAAUUAAUUACUCUUACUCUAUAGUCUAGUAACACUAUCCUACUAGCUCAAUAGGUAGAGCAUUGUGCUAAUGCAGAAAAGUGUGGGUUCGAAUCCCACGUAGGUUCAUAUUUACUUCUUGUAUUGUUUUAUUUACUUUUAGUUUGAAAACGUUUACUUUGGCCUCCAUAUACUCCAAUACUCGGAGUUUCUAUGUUGUACAAAACUUUUGAAACUUUUUGGAUUUACUUUAGAGAAUUUUUAAUUUACUUCUGAUUUAAUAUUAUUUACUUUUGAUUUGUUUUAUGUUCCUCUUGUUGCUGUAGCAGUCUUGUUUGCCGACAUAGUUUCAAUUGAUCUGAUGCAACAUACCUUUGUUCUGGUCUCAUGGUUCUUGAGGUCUGUUAUGCAGCCCUGAGGUCACUAGUUCAGUUGUCAAUCUUGUCAUGAUCUUUGGCUAGAUUAAAUCAAAGCAACUUAAUGCAUCUACAUAUGACUAGUCGAGUAAUGUUUUACCAAUUGAUUCUCCUAAAACAACACCAGAACACAAAAACCUGAUCUACUAUGGGUUGUUUUAUUUACUUUUGAAUCGGUUCUAUUUACUUUUACUAGUUCUUUAUUUACUUUUGAAUUGAACAAAAGGAAUUUUUGUCAACCUAUUUUAGAGAAAAUAAUCUUUAUCUUUUAAUUACAUCAAUGAAAAUGAAAGUGAAAGAAGUUUCGGUUUACUUUUGGAACAAUUUCAUUUACUUAAAUCUUUAUUUUCUUUACUUUUUUUUUGACGAGAAAAAUGUAGCUGUUAUUACUCAAUCGAAAUU
Spinacia oleracea (spinach) is the source of this 2078-nucleotide RNA transcript. RefSeq lists it as uncharacterized. The record is from RefSeq and is a predicted model, not a curated record. The transcript is spliced from 5 exons. NCBI's taxonomy places the organism in Eukaryota, Viridiplantae, Streptophyta, Magnoliopsida, Caryophyllales, Amaranthaceae.